UGGGGAAUCAUGGUCAAUGGGCGAAAGCCUGAACCUGCGACGCCGCGUGAGUGAUGAAGGUCGUAAGAUCGUAAAACUCUUUUCAGGGAUCUUAAAGCACAACCGUCAACAACGGCUGUGUGUGACUCUCCCUGGAAGAAGCCCCAGCCAACUACGUGCCAGCAGCUGCGGUCAUACGUAGGGGGCGAGCGUUAUUCGGACUUACUGGGUGUAAAGGGUAUGUAGGCGGCCCUUCAAGUCGCGUGUCAAAGUCCAGGGCGUAACGCUGGGUGUG
This 274-nucleotide ribosomal RNA is filed under the name uncultured prokaryote. Its description in RNAcentral is "partial 16S ribosomal RNA". It matches the Rfam family "Bacterial small subunit ribosomal RNA", at positions 355 to 623 of the family's 1533-position model. The record is from RNAcentral.